Molecule: ribosomal RNA, 731 nt
Filed under: Mycetocola manganoxydans
Lineage: Bacteria; Bacillati; Actinomycetota; Actinomycetes; Micrococcales; Microbacteriaceae
Description: bacterial SSU rRNA
Rfam family: Bacterial small subunit ribosomal RNA
Source: RNAcentral
UUGCUGGGGUGAUUAGUGGCGAACGGGUGAGUAACACGUGAGUAACCUGCCCUUGACUCUGGGAUAAGCGUUGGAAACGACGUCUAAUACCGGAUACGACCAGCCCCGGCAUCGGGUGUUGGUGGAAAGAAUUUUGGUCAAGGAUGGACUCGCGGCCUAUCAGGUAGUUGGUGAGGUAAUGGCUCACCAAGCCUACGACGGGUAGCCGGCCUGAGAGGGUGACCGGCCACACUGGGACUGAGACACGGCCCAGACUCCUACGGGAGGCAGCAGUGGGGAAUAUUGCACAAUGGGCGAAAGCCUGAUGCAGCAACGCCGCGUGAGGGACGACGGCCUUCGGGUUGUAAACCUCUUUUAGCAGGGAAGAAGCGAAAGUGACGGUACCUGCAGAAAAAGCACCGGCUAACUACGUGCCAGCAGCCGCGGUAAUACGUAGGGUGCAAGCGUUGUCCGGAAUUAUUGGGCGUAAAGAGCUCGUAGGCGGUUUGUCGCGUCUGCUGUGAAAACCCGAGGCUCAACCUCGGGCCUGCAGUGGGUACGGGCAGACUAGAGUGCGGUAGGGGAGAUUGGAAUUCCUGGUGUAGCGGUGGAAUGCGCAGAUAUCAGGAGGAACACCGAUGGCGAAGGCAGAUCUCUGGGCCGUAACUGACGCUGAGGAGCGAAAGGGUGGGGAGCAAACAGGCUUAGAUACCCUGGUAGUCCACCCCGUAAACGUUGGGAACUAGAUGUGG